GGAGGGGUUGAAGACUCGCCCC
RNAcentral lists this microRNA (22 nucleotides) under Sarcophilus harrisii (Tasmanian devil). Its description in RNAcentral is "Sha-Mir-7327_5p* (star (passenger))". The record is from RNAcentral. Lineage: Eukaryota; Metazoa; Chordata; Mammalia; Dasyuromorphia; Dasyuridae. RNAcentral also lists the same sequence under 2 other names.